This 468-nucleotide ribosomal RNA is filed under the name uncultured bacterium. RNAcentral's name for it is "partial 16S ribosomal RNA". It matches the Rfam family "Bacterial small subunit ribosomal RNA", at positions 28 to 507 of the family's 1533-position model. The record is from RNAcentral.
GACGAACGCUGGCGGCGUGCUUAACACAUGCAAGUCGAACGGAAAGGCCCUGCUUUUGUGGGGUGCUCGAGUGGCGAACGGGUGAGUAACACGUGAGUAACCUGCCCUUGACUUUGGGAUAACUUCAGGAAACUGGGGCUAAUACCGGAUAGGAGCUCCUGCUGCAUGGUGGGGGUUGGAAAGUUUCGGCGGUUGGGGAUGGACUCGCGGCUUAUCAGCUUGUUGGUGGGGUAGUGGCUUACCAAGGCUUUGACGGGUAGCCGGCCUGAGAGGGUGACCGGCCACAUUGGGACUGAGAUACGGCCCAGACUGCUACGGGAGGCAGCAGUGGGGAGUAUUGCACAGUGGGCGGAAGCCUGAUGCGGCAGCGCCGCGUGCGGGAUGACGGCCUUCGGGUUGUAAACCGCUUUCGCCUGUGACGAAGCGUGAGUGACGGUAAUGGGUAAAGAAGCACCGGCUAACUACGUG